GGGGGCGGAGCGCUGCUGGUGUGGCGUGCGGUCUUCAAAACCGUUGUGGGGCAGAGAAACGCUGUCCUGGGUGGGUUCGAUUCCCACGCGUCCCCGA
This 97-nucleotide transfer RNA is filed under the name Candidatus Melainabacteria bacterium. Its description in RNAcentral is "tRNA-Sec". It matches the Rfam family "Selenocysteine transfer RNA". The record is from RNAcentral. Lineage: Bacteria; Bacillati; Candidatus Melainabacteria. RNAcentral also lists the same sequence under 2 other names.